UAGAGUUUGAUCAUGGCUCAGAUUGAACGCUGGCGGCAGGCCUAACACAUGCAAGUCGAGCGGAAACGACACUAACAAUCCUUCGGGUGCGUUAAUGGACGUCGAGCGGCGGACGGGUGAGUAAUGCCUAGGAAAUUGCCUUGAUGUGGGGGAUAACCAUUGGAAACGAUGGCUAAUACCGCAUAACGCCUACGGGCCAAAGAGGGGGACCUUCGGGCCUCUCGCGUCAAGAUAUGCCUAGGUGGGAUUAGCUAGUUGGUGAGGUAAUGGCUCACCAAGGCGACGAUCCCUAGCUGGUCUGAGAGGAUGAUCAGCCACACUGGAACUGAGACACGGUCCAGACUCCUACGGGAGGCAGCAGUGGGGAAUAUUGCACAAUGGGCGAAAGCCUGAUGCAGCCAUGCCGCGUGUAUGAAGAAGGCCUUCGGGUUGUAAAGUACUUUCAGUUGUGAGGAAGGGGGUAGCGUUAAUAGCGCUGUCUCUUGACGUUAGCAACAGAAGAAGCACCGGCUAACUCCGUGCCAGCAGCCGCGGUAAUACGGAGGGUGCGAGCGUUAAUCGGAAUUACUGGGCGUAAAGCGCAUGCAGGUGGUUCAUUAAGUCAGAUGUGAAAGCCCGGGGCUCAACCUCGGAACUGCAUUUGAAACUGGUGAACUAGAGUACUGUAGAGGGGGGUAGAAUUUCA
RNAcentral lists this ribosomal RNA (685 nucleotides) under uncultured Vibrionaceae bacterium. RNAcentral's name for it is "bacterial SSU rRNA". It matches the Rfam family "Bacterial small subunit ribosomal RNA", at positions 1 to 671 of the family's 1533-position model. Lineage: Bacteria; Pseudomonadati; Pseudomonadota; Gammaproteobacteria; Vibrionales; Vibrionaceae. The record is from RNAcentral.